UACGGAGGAUCCGAGCGUUAUCCGGAAUUAUUGGGUUUAAAGGGUGCGUAGGCGGAUAUCUAAGUCAGUGGUGAAAGACGGUGGCUCAACCAUCGCAGUGCCGUUGAUACUGGAUAUCUUGAAUGUACUUGAGGGAAGCGGAAUGUGGCAAGUAGCGGUGAAAUGCAUAGAUAUGCCACAGAACACCGAUAGCGUAGGCAGCUUUCCAAGGUAUGAUUGACGCUGAGGCACGAAAGCGUGGGGAUCGAACAGG
RNAcentral lists this ribosomal RNA (253 nucleotides) under uncultured bacterium. Its description in RNAcentral is "partial 16S ribosomal RNA". It matches the Rfam family "Bacterial small subunit ribosomal RNA", at positions 524 to 776 of the family's 1533-position model. The record is from RNAcentral.